AUCUAAAUAGCUUAUAUAGAGCAUAGCAUUGAAGAUGCUAAGGAAUUUAAAUAAAAUUAUAGAUA
RNAcentral lists this transfer RNA (65 nucleotides) under Otiorhynchus rugosostriatus. Its description in RNAcentral is "tRNA-Phe". The record is from RNAcentral. Lineage: Eukaryota; Metazoa; Arthropoda; Insecta; Coleoptera; Curculionidae.